UUGUAGGUGUGGUUCCAGGUGGUCGUUUCGCGGCCGAGGAUGUGCGCGCCGAAGUACUCGCCGUCGGCGAGCACGCCGAGGACGGUGUCGUCGCCGUACUCGCCGGUGCCGAUCUUGUUGAUCUUGCCGUGUGCGAUGAGCACGACCUGGUCCGCCGGUUGCCCGGCGGUGGCGAUGACCUGGCCCGGCUCGAGCCCACCCUGCCCGAAGCGGUCGGCCAGGGCGGCCAGCACCGUAUCGUCGUCGAAUCCGCGCAGCAGCGGCAGUUCCCGCAGUUCUUGCGGGAUGACCCGGAUGUCGGCGCCGGUGUUGGUGAAGGUGACCCGUCCGUCGCCGAGGGUGUAGCUCAGCCGCCGGUUGACCCGGUACGCGCCGCCCGAGGCCUGCACCCACGGCAACAUCCGCAGCAGCCACCGCGAUGUGAUGCCCUGCAUCUGCGGGACGGAUUUCGUCGUCGUGGCCAGGUUCCGCGCCGCCGCCGUACUCAGGCUCAACGGCGACGCUUCGG
Molecule: antisense RNA, 508 nt
Filed under: Saccharopolyspora spinosa NRRL 18395
Lineage: Bacteria; Bacillati; Actinomycetota; Actinomycetes; Pseudonocardiales; Pseudonocardiaceae
Description: Saccharopolyspora sRNA 350
Rfam family: Saccharopolyspora sRNA 350
Source: Rfam by way of RNAcentral